CAGAGUUAUCCAACUCCCAAACCCAUGUGAACUUAUCUCUUUGUUGCCUCGGCCGCAAGCUACCCGGGACCUCGCGCCCCAGGCGGCCCGCCGGCGGACAAACCAAAACUCUUGUUAUCUUAGUUGAUUAUCUGAGUGUCUUAUUUAAUAAGUCA
RNAcentral lists this unclassified non-coding RNA (155 nucleotides) under soil metagenome. RNAcentral's name for it is "partial internal transcribed spacer 1". The record is from RNAcentral.